Molecule: long non-coding RNA, 555 nt
Filed under: Salmo salar (Atlantic salmon)
Lineage: Eukaryota; Metazoa; Chordata; Actinopteri; Salmoniformes; Salmonidae
Description: lncRNA (ENSSSAG00000084539.1)
Source: RNAcentral
GUCCUGUCCAGGUGAGGUUAGUGAUGAUGAUGGUAUGUUGUCCUGUCCAGGUGAGGUUAGUGAUGAUGAUGGUAUGUUGUCCAGGUGAGGUUAGUGAUGAUGGUAUGUUGUCCUGUCCAGGUGAGGUUAGUGAUGAUGAUGAUGAUGAUGAUAUGUUGUCCUGUCCAGGUGAGGUUAGUGAUGAUGAUGGUAUGUUGUCCAGGUGAGGUUAGUGAUGAUGAUGGUAUGUUGUCCUGUCCAGGUGAGGUUAGUGAUGAUGAUGGUAUGUUGUCCAGGUGAGGUUAGUGAUGAUGGUAUGUUGUCCUGUCCAGGUGAGGUUAGUGAUGAUGAUGAUGAUGAUGAUGGUAUGUUGUCCUGUCCAGGUGAGGUUAGUGAUGAUGAUGGUAUGUUGUCCUGUCCAGGUGAGGUUAGUGAUGAUGAUGGUAUGUUGUCCUGUCCAGGUGAGGUUAGUGAUGAUGGUAUGUUGUCCUGUCCAGGUGAGGUUAGUGAUGAUGAUGAUGAUGAUGAUGGUAUGUUGUCCUGUCCAGGUGAGGUUAGUGAUGAUGAUGAUGAUGG